AAAUAUGUCAAGCAUGAAGAACUGAUAAGCUAGAAAUAGGAUUGGAUGGGAUUCAAUCCCAGACCCAACCUCGCAUAGAAAGUUCUAAAAAAUCAUCCGAUUUAUGUGGCAUACUUUCGGGCCGGACAACCAGAAACACUUCACUAACGGCCAACACCCUCAUUUACAAAUUACAAAAUACACCUGCGUUCCCAUCCAGCAGCCCUCUUUUCAAUUAGCCUAAAACCCGUGCACUAAAAGUGCAGAAAAAAUGAACUGUUUAAUGCCUUUUAUACCACUCAUAAUUCGCAUAAUGACAGGACAUCUUUCUCAUUCCUCCCCCUCCACUGACAAUCCUCUAAUUUGGCCAGCAGCAGACCGUCGCGACGGCGAUGAGCAAACAACAGACGCAGCUGACCACUCCCGGAUGCACUUCAACUUUCCACCCUGUUGCGUACAAUCAAUGGCCAGCACAAGGACACCGUACAGCCGAAAGCCCGAAAAAAACCCCGUACGGAUACGGAUGGAUCUCCCUCGUCGAUGUUGAUGCCACACGACCAUUUCGACCGUACGCCCGUCGUCAUCGCGUUCGGAUUGUUGCAAAAGUGCGAAACCGCAAAUGUUAAACGCAACACACAAGUCAAUUCCGCCGCCGCCCACCCAAAGGCCCAAAAAGCGAACCCACGGUGACAACCGCAACCAGGCCACAAAGCUCUUCAAUUUGCUUGCCAUCUAUUAUGGUAGCUCAUUGUGGGAUUACCGCACAGCCCGAACCCAAACCCCAGUCCGAGCCCAAACUCAAACCCAUGGACAAGCCGCAGUGAAAACCCCGUAAAACCACCCCCACCCAAUGUGGAUGCGGAAACCCAGAAGAGAAGGCCGCACCACCGACGCGUUUGCGCCUGGUCGGUGAGGAAUUGCUAAU
This is a non-coding RNA of Drosophila melanogaster (fruit fly), 904 nucleotides long. Lineage: Eukaryota; Metazoa; Arthropoda; Insecta; Diptera; Drosophilidae. The record is from Ensembl.